AACCCUUGGUGAAGGCAUAUUUGCAAAAGAUCAUUGUAUCUCUCCCAUGCAUCAUAGAGUGUUUCUAGAUCCAUCUACACAAAAGAGGAGAUAUCAUCAUAUAAUUU
Non-coding RNA from Gossypium arboreum, 107 nucleotides. NCBI's taxonomy places the organism in Eukaryota, Viridiplantae, Streptophyta, Magnoliopsida, Malvales, Malvaceae. The record is from Rfam.